GAUGAAGAACGUAGCGAAAUGCGAUAAGUAAUGUGAAUUGCAGAAUUCAGUGAAUCAUCGAAUCUUUGAACUCACAUUGCGCCCGCUGGUAUUCCGGCGGGCAUGCCUGUUCGAGCGUCAUUUCAACCCUCAAGCUCUCCGGAGUUUGGUGUUGGGGCGCCUGGGGCUUUUCGACCUCAGGGCCCUCAAGUCCAUCGGCGGGACCGCCAGGACACUGAGCGCAGUAGUAUUAUUUCGCUCGGUAGGAUCUUCCACGGCGGGUCGAUCUGGCCGCUAAACCCCCCAAUUCUCACCAAAGGUUGACCUCGGAUCAGGUAGGAAUACCCGCUGAACUUAAGCAUAUCAAUAGCGGAGGA
Molecule: unclassified non-coding RNA, 356 nt
Filed under: soil metagenome
Description: partial contains 5.8S ribosomal RNA, internal transcribed spacer 2, and large subunit ribosomal RNA
Rfam family: 5.8S ribosomal RNA (bases 1-120)
Source: RNAcentral